GACGAACGCUGGCGGCGUGCCUAAUACAUGCAAGUUGAGCGCUGAAGGUUGGUACUUGUACCGACUGGAUGAGCAGCGAACGGGUGAGUAACGCGUGGGGAAUCUGCCUUUGAGCGGGGGACAACAUUUGGAAACGAAUGCUAAUACCGCAUAAAAACUUUAAACACAAGUUUUAAGUUUGAAAGAUGCAAUUGCAUCACUCAAAGAUGAUCCCGCGUUGUAUUAGCUAGUUGGUGAGGUAAAGGCUCACCAAGGCGAUGAUACAUAGCCGACCUGAGAGGGUGAUCGGCCACAUUGGGACUGAGACACGGCCCAAACUCCUACGGGAGGCAGCAGUAGGGAAGCUUCGGCAAUGGACGAAAGUCUGACCGAGCAACGCCGCGUGAGUGAAGAAGGUUGUCGGAUCGUAAAACUCUGUUGGUAGAGAAGAACGUUGGUGAGAGUGGAAAGCUCAUCAAGUGACGGUAACUACCCAGAAAGGGACGGCUAACUGCGUG
This 497-nucleotide ribosomal RNA is filed under the name uncultured bacterium. RNAcentral describes it as "partial 16S ribosomal RNA". It matches the Rfam family "Bacterial small subunit ribosomal RNA", at positions 28 to 507 of the family's 1533-position model. The record is from RNAcentral.